GUCCACGCCGUAAACGUUGGGCACUAGGUGUGGGCUCCAACCAACGGAGUCCGUGCCGUCGCUAACGCAUUAAGUGCCCCGCCUGGGGAGUACGGCCGCAAGGCUAAAACUCAAAGGAAUUGACGGGGGCCCGCACAAGCAGCGGAGCGUGUUGCUUAAUUCGAUGCAACGCGAAAACCUUACCUGGGUUUGACAUGUAGAGAAAAGCCGUAGAGAUGCGGUGUCCUUCGGGGUUCUACACAGGUGGUGCAUGGCUGUCGU
This 261-nucleotide ribosomal RNA is filed under the name uncultured bacterium. RNAcentral's name for it is "partial 16S ribosomal RNA". It matches the Rfam family "Bacterial small subunit ribosomal RNA", at positions 793 to 1055 of the family's 1533-position model. The record is from RNAcentral.